RNAcentral lists this ribosomal RNA (561 nucleotides) under Streptomyces sp. AN-2-31. Its description in RNAcentral is "bacterial SSU rRNA". It matches the Rfam family "Bacterial small subunit ribosomal RNA", at positions 772 to 1325 of the family's 1533-position model. The record is from RNAcentral. RNAcentral also lists the same sequence under 1 other name. Lineage: Bacteria; Bacillati; Actinomycetota; Actinomycetes; Kitasatosporales; Streptomycetaceae.
ACAGGAUUAGAUACCCUGGUAGUCCACGCCGUAAACGUUGGGAACUAGGUGUUGGCGACAUUCCACGUCGUCGGUGCCGCAGCUAACGCAUUAAGUUCCCCGCCUGGGGAGUACGGCCGCAAGGCUAAAACUCAAAGGAAUUGACGGGGGCCCGCACAAGCAGCGGAGCAUGUGGCUUAAUUCGACGCAACGCGAAGAACCUUACCAAGGCUUGACAUAUGCCGGAAACAUCCAGAGAUGGGUGCCCCCUUGUGGUCGGUAUACAGGUGGUGCAUGGUUGUCGUCAGCUCGUGUCGUGAGAUGUUGGGUUAAGUCCCGCAACGAGCGCAACCCUUGUUCUGUGUUGCCAGCAUGCCUUUCGGGGUGAUGGGGACUCACAGGAGACUGCCGGGGUCAACUCGGAGGAAGGUGGGGACGACGUCAAAUCAUCAUGCCCCUUAUGUCUUGGGCUGCACACGUGCUACAAUGGUCGGUACAAAGGGCUGCGAUGCCGCGAGGCGGAGCGAAUCCCAAAAAGCCGGCCUCAGUUCGGAUUGGGGUCUGCAACUCGACCCCAUGAAG